Molecule: ribosomal RNA, 253 nt
Filed under: uncultured bacterium
Lineage: Bacteria
Description: partial 16S ribosomal RNA
Rfam family: Bacterial small subunit ribosomal RNA
Source: RNAcentral
UACGGAGGGUGCAAGCGUUAUCCGGAUUUACUGGGUUUAAAGGGUGCGCAGGCGGAUAUGUAAGUCAGUGGUGAAAUCUCUAGGCUUAACCUGGAAAUUGCCGUUGAUACUAUAUAUCUUGAAUGUUGUGGAGGUAAGCAGAAUAUGUCAUGUAGCGGUGAAAUGCUUAGAUAUGACAUAGAAUACCUAUUGCGAAGGCAGCUUACUACGCAGAUAUUGACGCUCAUGCACGGAAGCGUGGGGAUCAAACAGG